Molecule: transfer RNA, 73 nt
Filed under: Dipodomys ordii (Ord's kangaroo rat)
Lineage: Eukaryota; Metazoa; Chordata; Mammalia; Rodentia; Heteromyidae
Rfam family: tRNA
About the family: Transfer RNA (tRNA) molecules are approximately 80 nucleotides in length. Their secondary structure includes four short double-helical elements and three loops (D, anti-codon, and T loops).
Source: Rfam by way of RNAcentral
GGAAGUGUGGCUCAAGUGGUAGAGCUCCUGAGUAGCAAGCACGAGGCCCUGAGUUCAAACCCCAGUACCUUUG